CAGGAGUCUCAAUCGGGUGGUUCAAGCAAGCGGCCGAAUAUGACUUAAUCGGGCCGAUCCAAGCAACGAAUGGGCACUUGCCAUGGCGACAAGCAAGCGGAUGACGCUUGAUCCAAGUAUGGCGAACCACCUUAACAAUUUCUCUGAUGUCAUUCUUAGCUCCAUCCUCUCCCUCCUCGCUAUCCGGGAGGUUGUUUACACC
Molecule: long non-coding RNA, 202 nt
Filed under: Elaeis guineensis (African oil palm)
Lineage: Eukaryota; Viridiplantae; Streptophyta; Magnoliopsida; Arecales; Arecaceae
Description: long non-coding RNA (EGUI_LNC003942)
Source: RNAcentral